AGAAAUUUAGGUUAACAAGAGACCAAGAGCCUUCAAAGCCCUAAGUAGACAUCACUCGUCUAAUUUCUG
RNAcentral lists this transfer RNA (69 nucleotides) under Nyctimene cephalotes. Its description in RNAcentral is "tRNA-Trp". Lineage: Eukaryota; Metazoa; Chordata; Mammalia; Chiroptera; Pteropodidae. The record is from RNAcentral.